GCGACCGGCGCACGGGUGCGUAACGCGUAUGUAACCUACCUAUAACAGGGGCAUAACACUGAGAAAUUGGUACUAAUUCCCCAUAAUAUUCGGAGAGGCAUCUCUCCGGGUUGAAAACUCCGGUGGUUAUAGAUGGACAUGCGUUGUAUUAGCUAGUUGGUGAGGUAACGGCUCACCAAGGCAACGAUACAUAGGGGGACUGAGAGGUUAACCCCCCACACUGGUACUGAGACACGGACCAGACUCCUACGGGAGGCAGCAGUGAGGAAUAUUGGUCAAUGGACGCAAGUCUGAACCAGCCAUGCCGCGUGCAGGAAGACGGCUCUAUGAGUUGUAAACUGCUUUUGUACGAGGGUAAACUCACCUACGUGUAGGUGACUGAAAGUAUCGUACGAAUAAGGAUCGGCUAACUCCGUGCCAGCAGCCGCGGUAAUACGGAGGAUUCAAGCGUUAUCCGGAUUUAUUGGGUUUAAAGGGUGCGUAGGCGGUUUGAUAAGUUAGAGGUGAAAUCCCGGGGCUUAACUCCGGAACUGCCUCUAAUACUGUUAGACUAGAGAGUAGUUGCGGUAGGCGGAAUGUAUGGUGUAGCGGUGAAAUGCUUAGAGAUCAUACAGAACA
This 618-nucleotide ribosomal RNA is filed under the name uncultured Bacteroidales bacterium. RNAcentral describes it as "bacterial SSU rRNA". It matches the Rfam family "Bacterial small subunit ribosomal RNA", at positions 91 to 708 of the family's 1533-position model. Lineage: Bacteria; Pseudomonadati; Bacteroidota; Bacteroidia; Bacteroidales. The record is from RNAcentral.